This 274-nucleotide ribosomal RNA is filed under the name uncultured bacterium. RNAcentral describes it as "partial 16S ribosomal RNA". It matches the Rfam family "Bacterial small subunit ribosomal RNA", at positions 523 to 796 of the family's 1533-position model. The record is from RNAcentral.
CUACGGAGGGUGCAAGCGUUAUCCGGAAUCAUUGGGUUUAAAGGGUCCGUAGGCGGACUAUUAAGUCAGAGGUGAAAUCCCACAGCUCAACUGUGGAACUGCCUUUGAUACUGGUAGUCUUGAGUUAUAUGGAAGUAGAUAGAAUGUGUAGUGUAGCGGUGAAAUGCAUAGAUAUUACACAGAAUACCGAUUGCGAAGGCAGUCUACUACGUAUAUACUGACGCUAAGGGACGAAAGCGUGGGGAGCGAACAGGAUUAGAAACCCUUGUAGUCC